AUACGGAGGGUCCAAGCGUUAUCCGGAAUCAUUGGGUUUAAAGGGUCCGCAGGCGGUCAAUUAAGUCAGAGGUGAAAGCCCAUCGCUCAACGAUGGAACUGCCUUUGAUACUGGUUGACUUGAGUUAUACGGAAGUAGAUAGAAUAAGUAGUGUAGCGGUGAAAUGCAUAGAUAUUACUUAGAAUACCGAUUGCGAAGGCAGUCUACUACGUAUAUUCUGACGCUGAGGGACGAAAGCGUGGGGAGCGAACAGGAUUAGAAACCCCAGUAGUCC
This 274-nucleotide ribosomal RNA is filed under the name uncultured bacterium. Its description in RNAcentral is "partial 16S ribosomal RNA". It matches the Rfam family "Bacterial small subunit ribosomal RNA", at positions 523 to 796 of the family's 1533-position model. The record is from RNAcentral.